GACGAACGCGGCGGCGUGCUUAACACAUGCAAGUCGAACGAAGAGCGAUGGAAGCCUGCUUCUAUCAAUCUUAGUGGCGAACGGGUGAGUAACGCGUAAUCAACCUGCCCUUCAGAGGGGGACAACAGUUGGAAACGACUGCUAAUACCGCAUACGAUCUAACCUCGGCAUCGAGGAUAGAUGAAAGGUGGCCUCUACAUGUAAGCUAUCACUGGAGGAGGGGAUUGCGUCUGGUUAGCUAGUUGGAGGGGUAACGGCCCACCAAGGCGAUGAUCAGUAGCCGGUCUGAGAGGAUGAACGGCCACAUUGGGACUGAGACACGGCCCAGACUCCUACGGGAGGCAGCAGUGGGGAAUCUUCCGCAAUGGACGAAAGUCUGACGGAGCAACGCCGCGUGAAUGAUGACGGCCUUCGGGUUGUAAAGCUCUGUUAAUCGGGACGAAAGGCCUUC
This 451-nucleotide ribosomal RNA is filed under the name Veillonella parvula. RNAcentral's name for it is "bacterial SSU rRNA". It matches the Rfam family "Bacterial small subunit ribosomal RNA", at positions 28 to 457 of the family's 1533-position model. The record is from RNAcentral. Lineage: Bacteria; Bacillati; Bacillota; Negativicutes; Veillonellales; Veillonellaceae.